Molecule: ribosomal RNA, 403 nt
Filed under: bacterium
Lineage: Bacteria
Description: partial 16S ribosomal RNA
Rfam family: Bacterial small subunit ribosomal RNA
Source: RNAcentral
UGGGGAAUAUUGCACAAUGGGGGAAACCCUGAUGCAGCGACGCCGCGUGAACGAAGAAGGUAUUCGUAUCGUAAAGUUCUGUCCUAUGGGAAGAUAAUGACAGUACCAUAGAAGAAAGCUCCGGCCAAAUACGUGCCAGCAGCCGCGGUAAUACGUAUGGAGCGAGCGUUGUCCGGAAUUAUUGGGCGUAAAGGGUACGCAGGCGGUUUAAUAAGUCGAAUGUUAAAGAUCGGGGCUCAACCCCGUAAAGCAUUGGAAACUGAUAAACUUGAGUAGUGGAGAGGAAAGUGGAAUUCCUAGUGUAGUGGUGAAAUACGUAGAUAUUAGGAGGAAUACCAGUAGCGAAGGCGACUUUCUGGACACAAACUGACGCUGAGGUACGAAAGCGUGGGGAGCAAACAGG